GACAGAGGUGCCAAGCGUUAGGCGGAAUCACUGGGCUUAAAGCGUGUGUAGGCGGAUUGGUAAGUACCUUGUGAAAUCCCACAGCUCAACUGUGGAACUGCUCGGUAUACUGCUUAUCUUGAGCCACUUAGGGGCUGUCGGAACAAACGGUGGAGCGGUGAAAUGCGUAGAUAUCAGGAGGAACACCGGUGGUGUAGACGGCUUUCUGGACCGUAACUGACGCUGAGACACGAAAGCGUGGGUAGCAAACAGG
This 253-nucleotide ribosomal RNA is filed under the name uncultured bacterium. RNAcentral describes it as "partial 16S ribosomal RNA". It matches the Rfam family "Bacterial small subunit ribosomal RNA", at positions 524 to 776 of the family's 1533-position model. The record is from RNAcentral.